CAGAUAGAGGUGCGGUUCACAUCAGUACGCCUGCCAUCCGGAACGGGUAUUCCGGCAGGGGGAAAGGGUUCGCCGCCGAAGUGUCCUGAGCCGCCCGGGCUUGGGAUGCUGGGUCGUCAGAGAAGAUCUGCCGGACUGUCACAAGUAUCUUGUGAAGCGCUAUCA
This 165-nucleotide non-coding RNA is filed under the name human gut metagenome. RNAcentral describes it as "Lysine riboswitch". It matches the Rfam family "Lysine riboswitch aptamer". Rfam says of the family: Riboswitches are metabolite binding domains within certain messenger RNAs that serve as precision sensors for their corresponding targets. Allosteric rearrangement of mRNA structure is mediated by ligand binding, and this results in modulation of gene expression. This family includes riboswitches that sense lysine in a number of genes involved in lysine metabolism, including lysC. The record is from RNAcentral.